CAACAGGGAUUGCCUCAGUAACGGCGAGUGAAGCGGCAAAAGCUCAAAUUUGAAAUCUAGCACCUUCGGUGUUCGAGUUGUAAUUUGAAGAUGGUAACCUUGGGUUUGGCUCUUGUCUAUGUUCCUUGGAACAGGACGUCAUAGAGGGUGAGAAUCCCGUCUGAUGAGAUGCCCAUUCCUUUGUAAGGUACUAUCGAAGAGUCGAGUUGUUUGGGAAUGCAGCUCUAAGUGGGUGGUAAAUUCCAUCUAAAGCUAAAUAUUGGCGAGAGACCGAUAGCGAACAAGUACAGUGAUGGAAAGAUGAAAAGAACUUUGAAAAGAGAGUGAAAAAGUACGUGAAAUUGUUGAAAGGGAAGGGCAUUAGAUCAGACUUGGUGUUUUACGAUUAUCUUCUCUUCUUGAGUUGUGCACUCGUAUUUCACUGGGCCAGCAUCGAUUCGGAUGGUAAGAUAAUAGCAGUUAAAUGUGGCUCUUCGGAGUGUUAUAGUUUCUGUUGAUAUUGCCUGUCUGGAUCGAGGGCUGCGUCUUUUGACUAGGAUGCUGGCGUAAUGAUCUA
RNAcentral lists this ribosomal RNA (556 nucleotides) under Hansenula ciferrii. RNAcentral describes it as "eukaryotic LSU rRNA". It matches the Rfam family "Eukaryotic large subunit ribosomal RNA", at positions 66 to 641 of the family's 3401-position model. Lineage: Eukaryota; Fungi; Ascomycota; Saccharomycetes; Phaffomycetales; Wickerhamomycetaceae. The record is from RNAcentral.